AACGAACGCUGGCGGCGUGCCUAACACAUGCAAGUCGAACGGGAAAGGGGGACGUUCGGUCUCCGAGUAAAGUAGGCGCACGGGUGAGUAACACGUAGGUAACCUGCCUCUAAGAUUGGGAGUAACCUGUCGAAAGACGAGCUAAUACCGAAUAAGACCACAGCUUCCUCAGAAGCAGGGGUACAAAGGUAAGCCUCUACUUGUAAGCUAUCACUUAGAGAUGGGCCUGCGUACCAUUAGCUA
This 243-nucleotide ribosomal RNA is filed under the name uncultured bacterium. RNAcentral's name for it is "partial 16S ribosomal RNA". It matches the Rfam family "Bacterial small subunit ribosomal RNA", at positions 29 to 247 of the family's 1533-position model. The record is from RNAcentral.